Long non-coding RNA from Musa acuminata AAA Group (dessert banana), 6074 nucleotides. RefSeq lists it as uncharacterized. The transcript has 3 exons. NCBI's taxonomy places the organism in Eukaryota, Viridiplantae, Streptophyta, Magnoliopsida, Zingiberales, Musaceae. The record is from RefSeq and is a predicted model, not a curated record.
AUAGCUGUAAUAUCCCCCACUUUUAAAAAUGUAUUAAUAAGGAUUUAUAUGUAAAUUGGGGGACCUAUAUGUAAAUAUAGAAAUUACAAGGACUAAACUGCUAAGUUGCAAAAAGAAAAAAAAAAAGAAAAGGAAAAACCGAAAAUUCGGUAUUAUCCCACCGCCUCCCACGCAGAGAGAGCGGUGGGGCGUGAGGAGAAGAAGGAGAGUGGUUGAAGAAAAGAAGAAGAAGAGGGAAAAGAAGAGAGGAGGAAGAAGAGAGGAAGAAGAGAAGAAGAUGAAGAAGAAGAAGAAGAGGAGGUGGCUGCAGCGAGGGCUGCAGCGAGAAGCUGUGGGGCGUGGGGAGAAGAAGAGAGGAAGAAGAGGGAGAAGAGAAGAAGAAGAAGAAGAGAGGAUGAUAGCUGCGGCAAGGCUGCAGCGAGGAGGUGUGUGGGGUUGGGGAGGAAAAGGGAAGAGGAGAAGAAAAGAAGGAGAAGAAGAGGGAAAAGAGAGGGAAGAGGGAGAGGAGCGAGAGGUGGCAGCAGCUAGGGCUGCUGCCACCUCUGUUUCCUGCAGGUGGAAACAGAGGAGAGGUGGGGCGUUCGAAGAGGAGAAGAAGAAGAAGAAGGAAGAGAAGAGGAAGAGGAAGAGGAAGCAGGAGAAGAGGUUGUGAUACCUCUGUUUCCUGCAGAGGAAACAGAGGAGAGGGUGUGUGUGACGUCGGGGAGAAGAAGGGGAGGAAGAAGAAGAAGAGAAGAAGAAGAAAGGAAGGAGAGGAAGAAGAGAAGGGAAAGGAGGAGCUGCGGCUGCGGCGGUGGCAGCUGCAGCUGGAAGAGAAGGAGAGGAAGAGAUGGUGAGGAAGAAGAGAAGAAGUAGAAGCGGGUGAAGAGGCGGCACCUCUGUUUCCUGCAGGAGGAAACAGAGGAAAGGAGGUGCUGUUCGUCGGGGAGAAGAAGGGGGCUGCAGCUGCAGCGAUGGCAGCUGCAGCUGGAAGAGAAGAAGAAGAGGAAGAUGAGCAGGGGAGGAGGGAGAGGUUGCGGCCGUGGCUGCGGCCGCGACUGCAGCAGUUGCAGCGGGGAGAGAAGAAGAAGAAAGGAAGGAGAAGGAAGAGGAGAAGGGAAAGAAGUAGCUGCGGCUGCGGUUGUGGCAGCUGCAGCUGUGGCAGGGAAAGAGGAAGAGAAAAAGGAAAGGAAGAAGAAGAGAAAGGGAAGGAGAGGAAGAAGAGAGGAAGAGGAGAAGGGGCUGCGGCUGCGGCGAUGGCAGCUGCAGCUGUGGCUGGGAAAGAAGAGAAGGAAAGGAAGAAGAAGAGAAAGGGAAGGAGAGGAAGAAGAGAGGAAGAGGAGAAGGGGUGGCAGCUGCGGCAGUGGCAGCUGCAGCUGGAAGAGGAGGAGGAAAUAGAGCAGGGGAGGAAGAAGAGGCUGCGAGUGUGGUGGCUGCGGCCGUGGCUGCGACUCCGGCUGCGGCUGCGACGUUGGCUGCGGUAGCUGCGGCAGCGGUGGUGGCUGCAGUAGCUGCAGUAGCUGCUUUUGGGAAAGAGAAAGAGUAGGAACGAGAGAAGGGAAGAUGGAAAUAGUGCAGUGGAAGGGGGCUGCGGUUGUGACCGCAGUUGCGAUUGUGGCAGCGGCAGCGGCGGCGGCUGUGGCAGCUGCGUUUGGGAAAGAAAAAGAAGGAAUGAGAGUAAGAGAGAGAGCAGGUGACUGUGCCUCGAUGUUCGACACGUGAUGUAGUUACGAAGAAAGGAAGAAAACGGGAGCACAAAACGAAACAGAGAGAGGACACGGAGGAAAAGUAGAAAGAUUGGACUGGCACCUUCCUUGGAUAUUCAGAUCAAAAUAUUUGAAAGGUCAGCUUGUCACUCUUCGAGAUGUUUGAUUUGGGCCGAGGCAGUGGAUAGCUAUUCAGAAUUAUGGGCAAGUCCUGUUGGUUGUUAUGCUAUUGUUGUAUAAGCAUAUUUUGUAUGUAAUGAAUUGUUCUGAUGAUCGAAAUGGAUAUACUGUGUAAAAGUGUUAGAAGAUCUCUCUUAUUUGGAAUUUCGGAAUGUUAAGUCUAAUUUAUGACGAUAUGAACUUGUGGUGAAUAGUUGGAGUUCUGAUUGUAUAAUUUAUUUAGCUUUUGGAUUUAUAAAUGUUGUUCAUGUUUGUCAAGUUGGCUUGGGUUGCCAUAAAUGUGAAUUAUCGAGUGAUGUGAUAUAUGAUUUUAAAAUGCACAGGUUUUAUGGAUGUGAAUUUGAUUGAAUGUUUUUCAGUGUCCUCAAACGUUAGUUUGGAUCCUGGAUUGGUCUGUGAUGAAUGUUUUAAAAAUCAUGGAUAUAUUUUGAGGGGCGUGACAGAGGUGGUAUCAGAGCAUUGUUUGAGGAUUACUGAAAUAUUUGAUAUGUUGACGUGCAAAAUAUAUUGAGGUCUAAUGAACUAUAGUGAUUGGUGGAAAUUUUCUUUGUUGUAUUUUAGGAAUCUGGGAUGAUGAGGACAUUUGGUCCUCCUAUUUCAUUGUUUCUGAUUAAUUAAGGGGAAUGAAAGGAUUGAUUGGGGAUAUUGAAUCUGAGUGGCGCAGCGGAAGCAUGGUGGACCUAAUUUCAUUGGUGGUAGAAAAAUGAAUGAUGCAAACAGAGAAGAUAUUUGAUGUACAAAAUUGUUUUGAUGAUCAAAAGAUUUCUUUUGCCACCUUAUAUUGGAAGUAGAGGCUGAUUAUUAUUGGCAACAAUGAAAAGAAUUUUUGGAGAUCAGUGACAAGAAUGAUAAGGACAAGUUUACCAAUAAGAAUAUGAUUGGAAAUGAAUCAGAAAGUAAUGACAAGAGGGUCAAGACAUUUGGAUUUGAAAAGGAAAGUCACCACCAAAGACUUAAUCAUGUGUGAAUUACAAGUUAAAUUAUGAAACAAGUUUGUGUUUUCGGGUGAUUGGAGUCUAUUUUGCUUGUAGAAAGUUGGAUCAUAAAAUAAAAGUUUGCCCUUUGAACAAGAAGAAAGAGUCACUGCCUCCUAAAUCAUCAGCCCAUGUCAGAGUGUAUGCUAUCACUGAAUAUGAUUCUAAGACUUCUGAAUUAGUGGUCGAAGGUAUUAUGUAUGUUUAUGAAAGAAUGCAAAUAUUUGUUUGAACAUGGGUUCUAUCUACGAUUUGAUUCGUAACAUAUUGCCUAUCACUUGGGUAUUCAACCUAGACCACUGUAUUAUGUGAUAUAUGUAAGUACAAUCAUUGGAGAUUCUUUGAUAACGAACUUGAAUAUGGUCCUCUUGUCUGAUUUUUGUUGGAGAACUUGAACUUUUGCUGAUUUAGUUCUCCUAGAGAUUUGGAGUUAUGAUAUUAUACUUGGUAUGCAUUGGCUAUCUUCUUAUCAUACCAGUAUGGAUUGGUAUAUAACAAAUGAUCACUUUUUGCAUAUUUGAUCAGCCGAUCUUUUAUUUUGAGAGUAUUGGACAUUAUUUAUCUCCUUGCCUAAUGUAUCCCAGGAUGACUUGCCUGGAUUACCUCCAAAUGUGAUUUUGCUUUUGAUUUGGUCCUUGGGACAAUCCCUAUAUCUAAGCCUCUCUGCAGAAUGAUAUCAUGUGGAAUUAGAAAAACAACUACAAGGAUUCUUAAAUGAGGAUUUUAUUUGGCUUAAUAUUUUAUCAUGGGGUGCUAUGGUGUUAGUUAAAAAGAUGGAUGGAACAUGGAGGCUUUGUAUUGAUUAUGGAUAGUUGAAUCAGGUGAUCAUCAAAAACGAGUAUUUUCUGAAGUAACGAUUUGCUUGAUUAAUUACAGGUGCGCAAGUAUUUUUGAAAGAUUGAUUGAAUGUCGGGUUUACCAUCUAUUGAGAAUCAAGAAGGAGAAUAUUUCGGUCACUCUUGGAAAAUUGUGUAAUUGUAUUGAAUUGAUGAAAUUAUUUAAGAGUAGGAGGAGGAAAUAAAGAAAUCAUAAAGAAAUCUUUUCAUCGAUUGAGCUAUGACCAAUUUAGAGGACUAAAUUUUCUUUUAAGGGGGGGAGAGUGUAAUAUCCCCCACUUUUAAAAAUGUAUUAAUAAGGAUUUAUAUGUAAAUUGGGGGACCUAUAUGUAAAUAUAGAAAUUACAAGGACUAAACUGCUAAGUUGCAAAAAGAAAAAAAAAAAGAAAAGGAAAAACCGAAAAUUCGGUAUUAUACCACCGCCUCCCACGCACUCUGUUUCUUUCCAGAAACAGAGAGAGCGGUGGGGCGUGAGGAGAAGAAGGAGAGUGGUUGAAGAAAAGAAGAAGAAGAGGGAAAAGAAGAGAGGAGGAAGAAGAGAGGAAGAAGAGGGAGAAGAGAAGAAGAUGAAGAAGAAGAAGAAGAGGAGGUGGCUGCAGCGAGAAGCUGUGGGGCGUGGGGAGAAGAAGAGAGGAAGAAGAGGGAGAAGAGAAGAAGAAGAAGAAGAGAGGAUGAUAGCUGCGGCAAGGCUGCAGCGAGGAGGUGUGUGGGGUUGGGGAGGAAAAGGGAAGAGGAGAAGAAAAGAAGGAGAAGAAGAGGGAAAAGAGAGGGAAGAGGGAGAGGAGCGAGAGGUGGCAGCAGCUAGGGCUGCAGCACCUCUGUUUCCUGCAGGUGGAAACAGAGGAGAGGUGGGGCGUUCGAAGAGGAGAAGAAGAAGAAGAAGGAAGAGAAGAGGAAGAAGAAGAGGAAGCAGAAGAAGAGGUUGUGAUACCUCUGUUUCCUGCAGAGGAAACAGAGGAGAGGGUGUGUGUGACGUCGGGGAGAAGAAGGGGAGGAAGAAGAAGAAGAGAAGAAGAAGAAAGGAAGGAGAGGAAGAAGAGAAGGGAAAGGAGGAGCUGCGGCUGCGGCGGUGGCAGCUGCAGCUGGAAGAGAAGGAGAGGAAGAGGUGGUGAGGAAGAAGAGAAGAAGUAGAAGCGGGUGAAGAGGCGGCACCUCUGUUUCCUGCAGGAGGAAACAGAGGAAAGGAGGUGCUGUUCGUCGGGGAGAAGAAGGGGGCUGCAGCUGCGGCGAUGGCAGCUGCAGCUGGAAGAGAAGAAGAAGAGGAAGAUGAGCAGGGGAGGAGGGAGAGGUUGCGGCCGUGGCUGCGGCCGCGACUGCAGCAGUUGCAGCGGGGAGAGAAGAAGAAGAAAGGAAGGAGAAGGAAGAGGAGAAGGGAAAGAAGUAGCUGCGGCUGCGGUUGUGGCAGCUGCAGCUGUGGCAGGGAAAGAGGAAGAGAAAAAGGAAAGGAAGAAGAAGAGAAAGGGAAGGAGAGGAAGAAGAGAGGAAGAGGAGAAGGGGCUGCGGCUGCGGCGAUGGCAGCUGCAGCUGUGGCUGGGAAAGAAGAGAAGGAAAGGAAGAAGAAGAGAAAGGGAAGGAGAGGAAGAAGAGAGGAAGAGGAGAAGGGGUGGCAGCUGCGGCAGUGGCAGCUGCAGCUGGAAGAGGAGGAGGAAAUAGAGCAGGGGAGGAAGAAGAGGCUGCGAGUGUGGUGGCUGCGGCCGUGGCUGCGACUCCGGCUGUGGCUGCGACGUUGGCUGCGGUAGCUACGGCAGCGGUGGUGGCUGCAGUAGCUGCAGUAGCUGCUUUUGGGAAAGAGAAAGAGUAGGAACGAGAGAAGGGAAGAUGGAAAUAGUGCAGUGGAAGGGGGCUGCGGUUGUGACCGCAGUUGCGAUUGUGGCAGCGGCAGCGGCGGCGGCUGUGGCAGCUGCGUUUGGGAAAGAAAAAGAAGGAAUGAGAGUAAGAGAGAGAGCAGGUGACUGUGCCUCGAUGUUCGACACGUGAUGUAGUUACGAAGAAAGGAAGAAAACGGGAGCAUAAAACGAAACAGAGAGAGGACACGGAGGAAAAGUAGAAAGAUUGGACUGGCACCUUCCUUGGAUAUUCAGAUCAAAAUAUUUGAAAGGUCAGCUUGUCACUCUUCGAGAUGUUUGAUUUGGGCUGAGGCAGUGGAUAGCUAUUCAGAAUUAUGGGCAAGUCCUGUUGGUUGUUAUGCUAUUGUUGUAUAAGCAUAUUUUGUAUGUAAUGAAUUGUUCUGAUGAUCGAAAUGGAUAUACUGUGUAAAAGUGUUAGAAGAUCUCUCUUAUUUGGAAUUUCGGAAUGUUAAGUCUAAUUUAUGACGAUAUGAACUUGUGGUGAAUAGUUGGAGUUCUGAUUGUAUAAUUUAUUUAGCUUGUGGAUUUAUAAAUGUUGUUCAUGUUUGUCAA